Long non-coding RNA from Triticum aestivum (bread wheat), 2331 nucleotides. RefSeq lists it as uncharacterized. Lineage: Eukaryota; Viridiplantae; Streptophyta; Magnoliopsida; Poales; Poaceae. The record is from RefSeq and is a predicted model, not a curated record. The transcript is spliced from 3 exons.
CCUCCCCACGAAGGACUAACCUCCCCGUACCCACCUCCACCUUAUCUGCGGCCCCUCCAUCCAAAUACUCUCCCCCUGAAGCCUUUUUACACCCGGCCACCUCUCCCCCUGAUUCCUCUCUGUCUCUCGCACUACAGGGUUGUCGCUGCCAACUCCAAUUGCAGGAAGCUCCGGCGGACUCCCAACCCACUGCUCACCGGCCUGCCCCACUCCGUCUAUGUUCUCCUUCAGUCCUUCGCCCGAGGCCAUCGCUCCCCUACACGCGCGGCACGCAACAACCCUAGCCGCCACACAUCGCCGGCGUGGCUCCGACAGCUCCGGUUUAUCGGCCCACUACCCCUGCAUCACCUCACGCGCGGCAGCCGGCUCGGGCUUAUGUUGAUCGAUGUACAUCACUUAUGCAUUACAAUCAGGAGAAAUCGAUCCAUGCAGAAGAAGCCUUAAGAAUUAUUUAACUCAUUUGUUUAUAGCUUGGCGAGGAUCCUUUCGCAUGUUACAGUAAGGAAAACAUGAAUUUGUAUCUUAUUCUUUUUUCUGGUUGAUGUAAUAUUUGUUUUCCCUGGACAAAAACUUAUGUUAGUUUCAGUUUCUUAUUCAGUUAAAAUUUGCACACUACAAUCUUGAAGUUUAUGCAAGAGCUCAGAUGGAAAUAAUUCUUACACUCAUAUUAUCCAAUAUAAAUUGUCAAAUAAUUGAUAAAGUUUGAAGGUGCGAUACAAGAACAUCAUACCUUGAUAUUCUUGUCAUAUGUAUAUGACUCAUAUUGUUGAAAUCUCACCUCUAAAUCGAGUUUAGUGCUCUUUUUUUGGAAAUACAGGUACUUCUGAAUUCCUGCAAUUUCUGUACUAAUUUUGUAUUUUGUGAGGAGCCACAGAUGUUUACAAAUACUAGAAUGAUGCAUGAUAGGUCGCACACAAACUCUUGACCAGGUGCCUCUCACAUCUUCUCAUGUUUGUACUAUAUUCUUCUUAAACUGUUAACACAAUGAGCAUGUACUUGGUUCAUCCAAGAACACAAUGAGCAUGUACUUGGUUCAUCCAAGAACGUAAACAUUAAAAAUAUUCCUCUUGUGCACUCUCCUUCCCUGACAUACAGGGCACACUACGGUGGUUGGAUGAUACUAACAACCAUAAACAGACAGCUAAGCGAUCAGAUGCGACGACUGUGCGAGUGUGUCAGGUACGUCGAAUUCACUGAUCCGAAACUAUUGGAUCUUACUAGGAUCCCCUCUUCUCUGUAAUACUCAGGGCCUUCUCCUCUACCUAUUCGGCCAACAGUUUCAGCAUCCAGCAACCAUGGUGACAAAGAUGAGCGUACUGGAACUGCUCUAAGUUUCCACGUUCUCGGUAAACAAGUAACUAAGAAAGCCAAUCCUAUUUAUUAAAUGUUGGCAUAUACUAAUACGCUGGCACUACUUAGUCUGCAUGAAUGUUGUGGUCUUCUAAAUUGUUAGAAUAAUUUCAAGUAGUUUAGUAGGAGUCCGUGCUAGUUUAACUAGCCAAGUUUGAGUCUAAUUUGGUUAGAUUGAUUAGUUAGUUUUCCAACAAGUCUGGCUUGCAUGUCAUAAGAAUUUGUGUACUUGGGUGGGUCGUACUAAUCCAUAUAUGGUUCAAUGAGUUUGCAUAGCUAGCUGCCUACAUGUUGUACUACUAUGUCUUGGAGUUAGCAUGCCUUACUAGUGUAGGAAAGGGCGCUGGAGUCUGUGUCGUUUUAGAUGCUAUAAGUAGGAGUAGGUUUAGAUUGUUUCGGCCAUCUAGCAUGUCAUAUCGUGGAACCAGGUCGUGCAAGAGUUUUUCCAUAUAAGAACAAGGUCAUGUAAGAGUUUUGGUAUAAAAUAAGAUAAGAAAGAGUACGCUAAAGGACUUCGUGCACAUGUAUUCAGCUAUUUUGAUGUUCGAUUCUGUGGGCAAAAGCGAACAUACAUUACUAAUGCACAUGCCAAAUUAGCAGGCUACAGAGACUCGAUUGUUCCAAGUCGAUGUUGUUGGCGCUAAAACAUAGAAGACUACUAGUGCCAAGCUGGAUUUACUAGGAGAUAGAUUCCAAUAUUCGAUGGUGCAUGUCUCAGAUGUUGGUUGCAAGGUCAAGAAUAGGGGUGCUACUAGAUAGUUUCACAUUGUGUCUUAGAAUGCCAUUUCCAGUGCCAAUGUUUCAAUCAUUAUGUAUCUGAUAUUUUUGGUGUCAAUGUUAGAUCAUUAUGUUUCAGAAUGGCUGACACGUAGGUUGCAAGGUCAAGAAUGGGAUUACUACUAGUUUCACAUCUUGUAAUCUUUGUAUGGUGUACUUUGUAAUGCAACCAAGUUGAUUUAAUAUAUGAGAAAUUUCUGUUUA